AAUCAACGCUGGCGGCGUGCCUCAGACAUGCAAGUCGAACGCGAAAGGCUCCUUCGGGAGCCCGGUAGAGUGGCGCACGGGUGAGUAACACGUAGGUAAUUUGCCUUCGGGUGGGGAAUAACUCAGGGAAACUUGAGCUAAUACCGCAUAAUGCAGCGGCUCGACAUCGAGACAGUUGUUAAAGCGGGGGAUUCGUAAGAACCUCGCGCCUGAAGAGAAGCCUGCGGCAGAUUAGCUAGUUGGUAGGGUAAUGGCCUACCAAGGCGACGAUCUGUAACCGGCCUGAGAGGGCGGUCGGGUCACACUGACACUGACAUACGGGUCA
This 325-nucleotide ribosomal RNA is filed under the name uncultured bacterium. RNAcentral describes it as "bacterial SSU rRNA". It matches the Rfam family "Bacterial small subunit ribosomal RNA", at positions 32 to 333 of the family's 1533-position model. The record is from RNAcentral.